UGGGGAAUUUUGGACAAUGGGCGAAAGCCUGAUCCAGCAAUGCCGCGUGUGUGAAGAAGGCCUUCGGGUUGUAAAGCACUUUUGUCCGGAAAGAAAUCCUUGGCUCUAAUACAGUCGGGGGAUGACGGUACCGGAAGAAUAAGCACCGGCUAACUACGUGCCAGCAGCCGCGGUAAUACGUAGGGUGCAAGCGUUAAUCGGAAUUACUGGGCGUAAAGCGUGCGCAGGCGGUUUGCUAAGACCGAUGUGAAAUCCCCGGGCUCAACCUGGGAACUGCAUUGGUGACUGGCAGGCUAGAGUAUGGCAGAGGGGGGUAGAAUUCCACGUGUAGCAGUGAAAUGCGUAGAGAUGUGGAGGAAUACCGAUGGCGAAGGCAGCCCCCUGGGCCAAUACUGACGCUCAUGCACGAAAGCGUGGGGAGCAAAACAGGAUUAGAUACCCUGGUAGUCCACGCCCUAAACGAUGUCAACUAGUUGUUGGGGAUUCAUUUCCUUAGUAACGUAGCUAACGCGUGAAGUUGACCGCUGGGGAGUACGGUCGCAAGAUUAAAACUUAAAUGAAUUGACGGGGUCAUAGCUGUUUCCU
Molecule: ribosomal RNA, 585 nt
Filed under: uncultured bacterium
Lineage: Bacteria
Description: partial 16S ribosomal RNA
Rfam family: Bacterial small subunit ribosomal RNA
Source: RNAcentral